This 497-nucleotide ribosomal RNA is filed under the name uncultured bacterium. RNAcentral's name for it is "partial 16S ribosomal RNA". It matches the Rfam family "Bacterial small subunit ribosomal RNA", at positions 28 to 507 of the family's 1533-position model. The record is from RNAcentral.
GAUGAACGCUGGCGGCGUGCCUAAUACAUGCAAGUCGAGCGAACAGACGAGGAGCUUGCUCCUUUGACGUUAGCGGCGGACGGGUGAGUAACACGUGGGUAACCUACCUAUAAGACUGGGAUAACUUCGGGAAACCGGAGCUAAUACCGGAUAAUAUUUCGAACCGCAUGGUUCGAUAGUGAAAGAUGGCUCUGCUAUCACUUAUAGAUGGACCUGCGCCGUAUUAGCUAGUUGGUAAGGUAACGGCUUACCAAGGCAACGAUACGUAGCCGACCUGAGAGGGUGAUCGGCCACACUGGAACGGAGACACGGUCCAGACUCCUACGGGAGGCAGCAGUAGGGAAUCUUCCGCAAAGGGCGAAAGCCUGACGGAGCAACGCCGCGUGAGUGAUGAAGGUCUUCGGAUCGUAAAACUCUGUUAUUAGGGAAGAACAAACGUGUAAGUAACUGUGCACGUCUUGACGGUACCUAAUCAGAAAGCCACGGCUAACUACGUG